This 378-nucleotide RNase P RNA is filed under the name Mediterraneibacter glycyrrhizinilyticus. Its description in RNAcentral is "Bacterial RNase P class A". It matches the Rfam family "Bacterial RNase P class A". Rfam says of the family: Ribonuclease P (RNase P) is a ubiquitous endoribonuclease, found in archaea, bacteria and eukarya as well as chloroplasts and mitochondria. Its best characterised activity is the generation of mature 5'-ends of tRNAs by cleaving the 5'-leader elements of precursor-tRNAs. Cellular RNase Ps are ribonucleoproteins. Lineage: Bacteria; Bacillati; Bacillota; Clostridia; Lachnospirales; Lachnospiraceae. The record is from RNAcentral.
CAGACGAUCGCGGCUGCAGGCGCCGAAAGGCAGCAGACGAGGAAAGUCCGGGCUUCACAGGGCAGGAUGCCGGAUAACGUCCGGUGGAGGUGACUCCAAGGCCAGUGCAACAGAAAUAAACCGCCCGGGCGGAGAACUGAGGAGAAGACAGAGUGCUUCUUUUGAGCUCUCCGUCCGGGUAAGGGUGGAAAGGCAGUGUAAGAGACUACCGCCUCUCUGGUAACAGAGGGGGCACAUGUAAACCCCAUCCGAAGCAAGACCGGAAAGAAGCAGUGUGGCUGCCCGCCACGCUUCAGGUAGGUCGCUCGAGCACGGCGGUGACGCCGUGCCUAGACAGAUGAUCGUCCAACGACAUAACCCGGCUUAUCGUCUUGCUUA